Molecule: ribosomal RNA, 429 nt
Filed under: Gemmatimonadota bacterium
Lineage: Bacteria; Pseudomonadati; Gemmatimonadota
Description: Gemmatimonadetes bacterium partial 16S ribosomal RNA
Rfam family: Bacterial small subunit ribosomal RNA
Source: RNAcentral
UAGGGAAUCUUCGGCAAUGGACGAAAGUCUGACCGAGCAACGCCGCGUGAGUGAAGAAGGUUUUCGGAUCGUAAAACUCUGUUGUUAGAGAAGAACAAGGACGUUAGUAACUGAACGUCCCCUGACGGUAUCUAACCAGAAAGCCACGGCUAACUACGUGCCAGCAGCCGCGGUAAUACGUAGGUGGCAAGCGUUGUCCGGAUUUAUUGGGCGUAAAGCGAGCGCAGGCGGUUUCUUAAGUCUGAUGUGAAAGCCCCCGGCUCAACCGGGGAGGGUCAUUGGAAACUGUGAGACUUGAGUGCAGAAGAGGAGAGUGGAAUUCCAUGUGUAGCGGUGAAAUGCGUAGAUAUAUGGAGGAACACCAGUGGCGAAGGCGGCUCUCUGGUCUGUAACUGACGCUGAGGCUCGAAAGCGUGGGGAGCAAACAGG